Molecule: long non-coding RNA, 556 nt
Organism: Coturnix japonica (Japanese quail)
Lineage: Eukaryota; Metazoa; Chordata; Aves; Galliformes; Phasianidae
Source: RefSeq, a predicted model, not a curated record
CAAGCAUUCAACUCAACUCUUACCUGCCCUGGAGUGUUGGGCAGUGAAACAAAGACACAAUCUUUUCUUCAUUAGCAGUAAUAUGGACAACAGCAAUGUAUAUACAGGCUGAUGAAGUCUGAGUUAGAUGAGUGACUGAUUGACCUGAAGGUGGAUUGAGGGCCAGCUCACAGUGGUGUACUCCAGAACCCAGGAGUGUUUAACAUCGCUGCAACCUAGAUGACGGAGCAGAGUGAAGUCUCAGUGAUUUGGCAGAUAAUGGAGAAGCAGCCAUCGGAUGGCUUUGCUGCCUGCCGUUCAGUCAGUCUUUGACCAGAUGGAUAAGUUGCUGAGAGAUACCUUGUGACGUUCAACAAGGAGAAAUGGAAAGUCCUAUACUUGGCAAGGAAUAAGAUUACAGGUACCAAUUGGCUGCAGGGCACCUCAGGUGGAAAAGACUUGGAGGGUCCUGGUGGCUACCAAGUUGAGCAUGAGCCACCAAUGUACCACAAAGAAGAUGAACAGGCUUCUGGACUGCAUUAAAAGUAGCUCUGUCAGAAUCUGGCAAGAGUCUCUU